Molecule: transfer RNA, 73 nt
Filed under: Ovis aries (sheep)
Lineage: Eukaryota; Metazoa; Chordata; Mammalia; Artiodactyla; Bovidae
Rfam family: tRNA
About the family: Transfer RNA (tRNA) molecules are approximately 80 nucleotides in length. Their secondary structure includes four short double-helical elements and three loops (D, anti-codon, and T loops). Further hydrogen bonds mediate the characteristic L-shaped molecular structure. tRNAs have two regions of fundamental functional importance: the anti-codon, which is responsible for specific mRNA codon recognition, and the 3' end, to which the tRNAs corresponding amino acid is attached (by aminoacyl-tRNA synthetases). tRNAs cope with the degeneracy of the genetic code in two manners: having more than one tRNA (with a specific anti-codon) for a particular amino acid; and 'wobble' base-pairing, i.e. permitting non-standard base-pairing at the 3rd anti-codon position.
Source: Rfam by way of RNAcentral
UCUGUGGUGGUCCAGUGGUAAAGACUCUACCCUUCCAAUGUAGAGGGCCUGGGUUCAAUCCCUGGGCAGGGAA